UGACCGCUGGCGGCGUGCCUAAUACAUGCAAGUCGCGCGAACAGACGAGGAGCUUGCUCCUCUGACGUUAGCGGCGGACGGGUGAGUAACACGUGGAUAACCUACCUAUAAGACUGGGAUAACUUCGGGAAACCGGAGCUAAUACCGGAUAAUAUAUUGAACCGCAUGGUUCAAUAGUGAAAGACGGUUUUGCUGUCACUUAUAGAUGGAUCCGCGCCGCAUUAGCUAGUUGGUAAGGUAACGGCUUACCAAGGCAACGAUGCGUAGCCGACCUGAGAGGGUGAUCGGCCACAUUGGAACUGAGACACGGUCCAGACUCCUACGGGAGGCAGCAGUAGGGAAUCUUCCGCAAUGGGCGAAAGCCUGACGGAGCAACGCCGCGUGAGUGAUGAAGGUCUUCGGAUCGUAAAACUCUGUUAUUAGGGAAGAACAAAUGUGUAAGUAACUAUGCACGUCUUGACGGUACCUAAUCAGAAAGCCACGGCUAACUACGUG
RNAcentral lists this ribosomal RNA (495 nucleotides) under uncultured bacterium. RNAcentral describes it as "partial 16S ribosomal RNA". It matches the Rfam family "Bacterial small subunit ribosomal RNA", at positions 30 to 507 of the family's 1533-position model. The record is from RNAcentral.